AGGCAGCUCCGGAGGGGCGGAGGCCGGAGGCCGCACUCGGGCCCCUUCCCCUUCCCCAGACAGACAAGGCGGAGAAAACCCUGCGGGCAAUUCUGCUCCUCACCUUCCUUCCCUCUGGCUGCGCAGGCUGCACAGGCCCCAGACAUCCAUGUGCCAGGGGCUGGCCAGGCCCCAGCUUCUUGCUGCCCCCACAAGGCAGGGCUGGAAGGCGGUCCCCCCAGUGAUCCCGCUGGGCCCUAGAAACAGAGCCUUGCUUACGGUUGUCAAAAACACAUUUCCCGGCCCUGGUUUCUCAAAGCCAAAGCCCUCGGCAUCCAACAACCAGGAAUUCUAAUUCCAGCAGGCAUCUUUGGGGCACUUCUGGUGUUUUGAAGACGAAGCGGAGACUCAGGGCCAGGAAGAGGGUAUGUGGCAAAUCCAGCAAUGAGGAAGAAGCCUUCCAGACAUUUCCCUACAGAAAUAAAUCACCCCACAGACAGGAUCUUCAACUUUGGGGGAAUCCGGAGGUGUUUUGGGGGACAUGACUCUGGACACGUUUCCCAGGAGCAGCUGUCUUCCUCUCAGGCUCUCAGGUGCACGCAGGUAAUAAUUGUCCUAUUAUGACCCACAUCAUUGCCCUGAUCUCUAGAGCGAGAUGUACCCUUAGCCUUCCCAUAACCCCCAUUCAUACUGUUGCUUCCUAGCUGGACUGGCAUCUCUGUGGGCAGGGCUCAGUGUGCCUGGCUCCCCUCUGAAUCUCCAGUGCCUACCUUAGGCUGACACAUAUUCCAUUUUCGACAGCGUCUCUGGGUUGAUAGAGGAGGAAAGUGCAGUGGACAUGUUAUGCAGUUUCAGCAAAACAUGAGAAAACACCCAGCAAGAUUUGUAUGGACAAUAUGGUGAAGGAGUGCCUGGGUGGCACAGUCAGUUAAGCAUCUGUCUCCUGGCUCCAGCUCAGGUCAGGAUCUCAGAGUCAUGAGAUCAAGCCCCAAGAUGGGCU
Canis lupus familiaris (dog) is the source of this 979-nucleotide long non-coding RNA. RefSeq lists it as uncharacterized. The record is from RefSeq and is a predicted model, not a curated record. Lineage: Eukaryota; Metazoa; Chordata; Mammalia; Carnivora; Canidae. The transcript has 3 exons.